RNAcentral lists this ribosomal RNA (253 nucleotides) under uncultured bacterium. Its description in RNAcentral is "partial 16S ribosomal RNA". It matches the Rfam family "Bacterial small subunit ribosomal RNA", at positions 524 to 776 of the family's 1533-position model. The record is from RNAcentral.
UACGGAGGGUGCGAACGUUAAUCGGAAUCACUGGGCGUAAAGCGCGCGUAGGCGGUUUGCUAAGUGGGAUGUGAAAUCCCCGGGCUUAACCUGGGAAUUGCAUUUCAAACUGGCCGACUAGAGUACGGUAGAGGGAGGUAGAAUUUCCUGUGUAGCGGUGAAAUGCGUAGAUAUAGGAAGGAAUACCAGUGGCGAAGGCGGCCCCCUGGAUCGAUACUGACGCUGAGGCGCGAAAGCGUGGGGAGCAAACAGG